This 160-nucleotide unclassified non-coding RNA is filed under the name soil metagenome. RNAcentral describes it as "partial internal transcribed spacer 1". The record is from RNAcentral.
ACGAGUUUUAAUUGUUAGGUUAGAGUUGAGCUGGUUAAUCUAAUUAAUAUGUGCUUACUCUAAUCGAAACGAGUCCACUCAUUACUUAACACUUGUGAACUUAUUCAUUACAAACAUUAUUAUUUGUUAUUGGUAACGUUUGAUUAUUAAAAAGUUAAUA